Molecule: transfer RNA, 73 nt
Filed under: Anaerotignum neopropionicum
Lineage: Bacteria; Bacillati; Bacillota; Clostridia; Lachnospirales; Anaerotignaceae
Also listed under: 2 other names
Description: Clostridium neopropionicum tRNA
Rfam family: tRNA
About the family: Transfer RNA (tRNA) molecules are approximately 80 nucleotides in length.
Source: Rfam by way of RNAcentral
GCUGAUAUGGCUCAGUAGGUAGAGCGUCGCCUUGGUAAGGCGGAGGUCACGGGUUCAAAUCCCGUUAUCAGCU